GGGCUCGUGGUCUAGCGGUAUGACAUUUCGUUGACGUCGAAAAGGUCGCCUGUUCGAAUCAGGCCGAGCCCA
Molecule: transfer RNA, 72 nt
Filed under: Candidatus Woesearchaeota archaeon
Lineage: Archaea; Nanobdellati; Candidatus Woesearchaeota
Description: tRNA-Val
Rfam family: tRNA
About the family: Transfer RNA (tRNA) molecules are approximately 80 nucleotides in length.
Source: RNAcentral